Molecule: ribosomal RNA, 497 nt
Filed under: uncultured bacterium
Lineage: Bacteria
Description: partial 16S ribosomal RNA
Rfam family: Bacterial small subunit ribosomal RNA
Source: RNAcentral
GACGAACGCUGGCGGCGUGCCUAAUACAUGCAAGUUGAGCGCUGAAGGUUGGUACUUGUACCGACUGGAUGAGCAGCGAACGGGUGAGUAACGCGUGGGGAAUCUGCCUUUGAGCGGGGGACAACAUUUGGAAACGAAUGCUAAUACCGCAUAAAAACUUUAAACACAAGUUUUAAGUUUGAAAGAUGCAAUUGCAUCACUCAAAGAUGAUCCCGCGUUGUAUUAGCUAGUUGGUGAGGUAAAGGCUCACCAAGGCGAUGAUACAUAGCCGACCUGAGAGGGUGAUCGGCCACAUUGGGACUGAGACACGGCCCAAACUCCUACGGGAGGCAGCAGUAGGGAAUCUUCGGCAAUGGACGAAAGUCUGACCGAGCAACGCCGCGUGAGUGAAGAAGGUUUUCGGGUCGUAAAACUCUGUUGGUAGAGAAGAACGUUGGUAAGAGUGGAAAGCUCAUCAAGUGACGGUAACUACCCAGAAAGGGACGGCUAACUACGUG